CGGGGUGAGUAAUGUAUGGGGACCUGCCCGAUAGAGGGGAAUAACUACUGGAAACGGUGGCUAAUACCGCAUAAUGUCUACGGACCAAAGCAGGGGCUCUUCGGACCUUGCACUAUCGGAUGAACCCGUAUGGGAUUAGCUAGUAGGUGGGGUAAAGGCUCACCUAGGCGACGAUCUCUAGCUGGUCUGAGAGGAUGAUCAGCCACACUGGGACUGAGACACGGCCCAG
RNAcentral lists this ribosomal RNA (229 nucleotides) under uncultured bacterium. Its description in RNAcentral is "partial 16S ribosomal RNA". It matches the Rfam family "Bacterial small subunit ribosomal RNA", at positions 104 to 334 of the family's 1533-position model. The record is from RNAcentral.